UUAUGUUGAAACACUGGUUCCCAUAUGAUCACCAAAUUUAAUCAGCAUUGAGCUUGGUCAGUACCUAGAUGGGUGACAACUUGGGAAUACCAAGUGCUGUAAG
Molecule: non-coding RNA, 103 nt
Organism: Acanthosepion pharaonis
Lineage: Eukaryota; Metazoa; Mollusca; Cephalopoda; Sepiida; Sepiidae
Source: the annotation of a GenBank genome assembly